AAACUACAUGUCCCAGUGUGCCAUGCGGUGGUGACGCGAAGCGCGGCCUGUUCGGUCUGAACCCUCCAAGUUGGAUGUGACUUCUAGCGGCAGAAUGCUGCGGAGGAAGCCCACCCGGCUCGAACUGAAGCUGGACGAUAUCGAGGAGUUUGAGAGUAUGAAGAAGGAGUUGGAGAAUCGGAAGAAACAGCAGCGUGAGGAAGGAGUCAUGGUGAGCUCCAGUGAUGUGGACAGUGCAAAUGGAGCACGAGAUGAUGCCAAGGUCAGAGAGAAGAUAAAUGAGCGAAUUGGUUACCGACCCAAUCCUCACAUCAACAAACCCUUCUCUCUGUUUGGGAACCUCCACUGAUGGCCUAUUGACAGCAACACGUAUGGAGUGUACAAGUUCACCAGGCUGCGAAAUAUGACCUGAAUAUUUUGAAGAUUGUUAAUUCAAAGACGUGUUGCUCUUGGCAAAAUUGGUGCCCAGCUGACUCUCCUGCUAAGGACAGUGCCAAAUGCAAGAUAAAAUGGUGUGAAAAUCACUGACCUAGCCAUGCGCUCUGUAAAUAUUUCCACAAGUGUCUUAUAAAGAGAUGACAUAAUGUCAACAAGACACACUGCAGAACUUGCCAAGGCUACUUUAGCAGAAUGUCUGAAAUCUGUGACCUCCGCUAAGAUGGAAGAGGGCAGCAGGUGCAUGGAAACACUACCAUCUCCACGUUUUGUUCCACAUUGCACACCACUCCAAACUGGAUAUUAUUACCACAUCUAAAUUGUCUUGACCAAUAGCAGAAAAAAGAAUGCUGGGGAAACUCAGCAGGUCUGGUAGCAUCAAUGGACAGAAAAAAAGGUUGUGGAGAAUCCAAUAUGAUUCUUCUUCAGAACUGAAGGGAGUAAAAUUGACAGUGCUUUCACUGUCCUUAUGCAAAUUUUUUAUUCUGGAUUGUAUUAACUGAAUUCAAAUUUCAUUGUAUGCCACAUGGGAUUCAAACCCAUGUAAUCUGGGCUUCUGGUAUACUGGUCUAGUGACAAUACCUCCAUAAUAGGUCUCCCUGUUGGUAAUCUCACAUCUGGCCACAGUGUCUGUGAACUUUUCCAACAUAAAUUCCAAUGGUCAUCUUUCUGUUGUAAAUUUGUUAUAGUAAUUACUUUCUGCUGCUAGUAAAUGCACUAAAGCAUUUUCAUUGGCAAGAGGAUGUAAUUAGAUUAUGACCGGUUUAAAUAGGCAGCCUCCAUUAAAAGAGACACAUGCACAAGCAGGUUGUUUCACUUUAAAAUUAGAGCUGGGGCUGUUAUGAUGAUAGUGUCCCUACCUCUGAAGCAGAGGUCUGAGUUCAAAUACUACCUGCUCCAGAGAUGUGUAAUGAUAUUUCUGUACAAGUUGAUUGAUUUUAAAAGAAAUUAAAAUGAGCACUGUUCAAUUAGGUACAUGACUGUACCAGAGCUGGAUGGAUCCAACCUAAUUGGUCUUAAUCCUUUUCGUAGGUCUAUCCAAUAAUAUUUGGAUUAUAGAGGCAGGUUACAUUCAGCAAACAGGAAUGGAAUAAGAUUGAAUUCCUAUUAUUCAUGUAACCAGUCAGCAAUUUGGUAUAACUUCAAAAAUAACUUUAACAGAGACAGGGAUAUGUGUAACACAGCUGCACUUGAGUUUUUUUUUUAAAAUGAGCUGUUGGACUUUCUGCUCAAAUUUUUGAAGUUAAUUUGUAGGAUGUGAGCAUUGUUGGCUGGUCAUUGCCUAUCCCUAGUUGUGUUGAGGUGGUGGUGGUGGUGAGCUGCUUUCUUGAACUGCUGCAGUCCAUGUGCUGUAGUAGACCCACAGUGCUAUUGGGGGUGCCAGGAUUUGGACUAGUUACAAAGCACAAAAUGGGGUCUCCUCUCAGUAAGACUGUGUUUCAAUGCCCUCAAGAUCACUAAAGCCACAGGAACAAAGAAACAAUUCCAGCAAUUCCAAAUAUGGUUGUAAACUGAUUAGGUCAAAGUAUUUGUGAGCAGACAAAUUAAAAGAUAUUAAGUGGCUUGGAGGGAAACUCUGGUAGUGGUGGUGUUCCCUUGUAUCUGUUGUUCUUGUCCUAGGUGGAAUUGAUCACAAGUUUGGAAGGUGCUGAGAAGCCUUAAUGAAUCUCUAGAGUGCACUGUCUAGUAAAAAGAGUGGGUACCAUCUCAGUGUUGGUGGUAGAGGAAGGAAUUGUUUGUACAAGUGGUUCACCAGAGCGUACCAGGAAUAAACCACAGUUUGAAAAGGAGUAAUGAGCAAACUGAUCAGGUUUCAAAUCCCUUAGUUGAAGCAAAAUGAUAAACUGUUUUGCAUGUAUCUGCAGCAUUUUAUUUAUAGCACUUGCUCUUUGAAGACACAUUUAUAUUACUUAUUGAUGCUUGUAUUUGAAGAGAACAUUCUUCAUUGCUCAGAUCUUACAGCUGCCAAGAUGGUUUGUCAACACAAGAAAUAACACAGUUUAAAAGACAAACUAAUAGUUUAUUGGAAAUAAGCAUGAUAAUAUAUUAUUUUUCCAGUACAGAAAAUUGCAUUGUACAAUCUCAAGAAUUGUUUCUGACAGCUCACCAGUAAGAUAACAUUGCAACACUGAGGUGCUGGAGUGGGAGGAAAAUCAUCAACAUGUUUGAGAACGGAGAAAUCAAAUUAUAAGACAAAGGCUUAACAAUGGGUGACCAUUACUCAUGUUUUCAGGAGAGAACCAAAGGCACUGAAUUUCAAAUACAAGCUGAGUAAAGAUUUACCAAAUUUUAAAGGGUGAUUAAAAAAAAAACACCUCGUACAAGAUUGACAACCAAAGAAUUACAAUAUUUUCCCCGUCAUAUCCUUUUAUUAUCUAUAUUCAAUGUGAAAUGUGUGACUGCCAUUUAUUUCAGAAGGAGAAUACACUCUUAAGUCACAUUUUGACGAUCAACUGUAUUAAUAGCAGUUCUGGGAGCACAAAUGUGAAAAUAGCAGCACAAACUAGCAAGAGCACUUGUCAACUCCUGCUCCAACAUUAAAUGCAUAAAAGCCAAACUUACACAGCUCCAGUCCGAGCCAAGUUUUAGUUUAAAAAUACCAUUGGUUCUUUCUGCUCAGCUUGAGUUUUAAAAUCUGAAAUGGAAUGCUUUCAGUGGCAAUAUUUUAAGAGUACCAGAGGAGAGGAACAUUGUGUGCGCACUUAAAUGCAGGACACCUUGCCAUUCAUUGUUGGUUAGUCCAAAUGACACUUUACGGUGUCAUGGAUCGUGGCUAUAGUACAAACGUGGAUGACCAUGUUCGUUGACACUGCUAUAUGAGCUAAUGAAUUGGAAGCAAUGAGGACUCAGGACUCAAUAACAAACCUGUUUCACAUAAGCAAAUACAGGUAGUCCAAAAUUAAAAACAGAAAAUGCUGGAAAUACAAUGGAUCAGCCAGGGAGAAAGAAACAGCAUCUAGGUUAGUGAUCUCGUCAGUUUUGAGUAUUUCCUGCAUUUUGUGUUUUAUUUUUAUUUUACAGCAGAAUCUCUUUAAACAGUUCCUAUCUGUUACAGCAACCAGAAUCUGUACAAACUAGAGAAAAAAAACUUGACUGAAAAUCCCAAUAAAAGCAGGAGUCCAGGAGAAAGUAGUUAGUGGAGGAUAGUCUCAACGCAAAGUACAUCUCAUCUGCAGGCUUGGUUCAUAUGGUCAGGUCGUGUAGUGACACUCUAUGCAGCUAAUAUGAAAAAGUUACUUUCUGCAAGAUGAGGAAUUCCAAACACAGCCCUCAAAAUAAUUUUUUAAUUAACCAACUGCUGCUCAAAGGUUUGUGUCAUUCCCACCCCAAUGGCCCCAUUAGCAAGCUUUAAGUAUACACCUAACUGGUACCAUUUUACAAAAAGGCUCUCACUUUACAGAGAGUAUAAUAGUGUUACUUAGCGGUGCCUCUGGAAACUCUGUCCUGGGGCUAUCACUAGACAAAAAUAUUGAAACAAUUUAAUGCUGAUCAGAUUAAAGUUGUAACUCAGGUAUUAAA
This is an RNA transcript of Rhincodon typus (whale shark), 3954 nucleotides long. It is a transcript of the gene named cell division cycle 26 homolog, with no coding region annotated. NCBI's taxonomy places the organism in Eukaryota, Metazoa, Chordata, Chondrichthyes, Orectolobiformes, Rhincodontidae. The record is from RefSeq and is a predicted model, not a curated record. The transcript has 3 exons.